This 470-nucleotide long non-coding RNA is filed under the name Physcomitrium patens. RNAcentral's name for it is "long non-coding RNA (PPAT_LNC010067)". The record is from RNAcentral. Lineage: Eukaryota; Viridiplantae; Streptophyta; Bryopsida; Funariales; Funariaceae.
GUAAUUCUUUGUGCCCGUACUUGUGACCAUUGCUGUAAUUGCAGGUUCUGACGAUGGCCGACGCAGAUAACGUGAUGUCCGAUGCCCCCACCGAGGCCCCAGUUGCGGAGCAGACUGCGCCUGGAGAGCCCAUGGACAUCCUCACUGGUCUACAGAUGGUGUUGAAGAAGGCCUUGGCGCACGAUGGGCUUGCGAAGGGGCUUCACGAGAGCGCUAAGGCGAUCGAGAAGCACGCCGCUCAGUUGUGUGUGCUAGCAGAGGAUUGCAAUCAGCCUGACUACACCAAGCUCGUGCAGGCUCUGUGUCAAGAGCACAACGUCAACCUGAUUUCCGUUCCCUCUGCUAAGAAGCUCGGAGAGUGGGCUGGUCUCUGCAAAAUUGACUCCGAGGGGAAGGCCAGAAAGGUAGUAGGAUGCUCGUGUGUGGUUGUGAAGGACUACGGUGAGGAGACUGAGGGGCUUAACGUUGUG